Molecule: ribosomal RNA, 774 nt
Filed under: Campylobacter jejuni
Lineage: Bacteria; Pseudomonadati; Campylobacterota; Epsilonproteobacteria; Campylobacterales; Campylobacteraceae
Description: partial 23S ribosomal RNA
Rfam family: Bacterial large subunit ribosomal RNA
Source: RNAcentral
GUCUGCGUGGAGCCAACCUUGAAAUACCACCCUUUAAUGUUUGAUGUUCUAACGUAGACCCGUGAUCCGGGUUGCGGACAGUGUCUGGUGGGUAGUUUGACUGGGGCGGUCUCCUCCCAAAGAGUAACGGAGGAGCACGAAGGUUAGCUAAUCCUGGUCGGACAUCAGGAGGUUAGUGCAAUGGCAUAAGCUAGCUUGACUGCGAGCGUGACGGCGCGAGCAGGUGCGAAAGCAGGUCAUAGUGAUCCGGUGGUUCUGAAUGGAAGGGCCAUCGCUCAACGGAUAAAAGGUACUCCGGGGAUAACAGGCUGAUACCGCCCAAGAGUUCAUAUCGACGGCGGUGUUUGGCACCUCGAUGUCGGCUCAUCACAUCCUGGGGCUGAAGUAGGUCCCAAGGGUAUGGCUGUUCGCCAUUUAAAGUGGUACGCGAGCUGGGUUUAGAACGUCGUGAGACAGUUCGGUCCCUAUCUGCCGUGGGCGCUGGAGAAUUGAGGGGGGCUGCUCCUAGUACGAGAGGACCGGAGUGGACGCAUCACUGGUGUUCGGGUUGUCAUGCCAAUGGCAUUGCCCGGUAGCUAAAUGCGGAAAAGAUAAGUGCUGAAAGCAUCUAAGCACGAAACUUGCCCCGAGAUGAGUUCUCCCUGACUCCUUGAGAGUCCUGAAGGAACGUUGAAGACGACGACGUUGAUAGGUCGGGUGUGUAAGCGUAGCGAUACGUUGAGCUAACCGAUACUAAUGAACCGUGAGGCUUAACCUUACAACGCCGAAGCUGUU